AGAGUAUGAAAUUCAAAGGAAAGCUUCUAACUUACCCUUCUAGCAGUGAAAUUCUGUUAAUACUCUU
RNAcentral lists this transfer RNA (67 nucleotides) under Histeroidea sp. 4 KM-2017. RNAcentral's name for it is "tRNA-Ser". The record is from RNAcentral. Lineage: Eukaryota; Metazoa; Arthropoda; Insecta; Coleoptera.